This 255-nucleotide ribosomal RNA is filed under the name uncultured bacterium. RNAcentral describes it as "partial 16S ribosomal RNA". It matches the Rfam family "Bacterial small subunit ribosomal RNA", at positions 524 to 776 of the family's 1533-position model. The record is from RNAcentral.
UACGUAGGGGGGCAAGCGUUUGUCCGGAAUCAUUGGGCGUAAAGCGCGUGUAGGCGGUUACGUAAGUCUGCUGUGAAAGUCGGAGGCUCAACCUUCGAAAGCCGGUGGAUACUGCGUGACUAGAGUACGGAAGAGGAGAGUGGAAUUCCUGGUGUAGCGGUGAAAUGCGCAGAUAUCAGGAAGAACACCCGUGGCGAAGGCGGUUCUCUGGGACGGUACUGACGCUGAGACGCGAAAGCGUGGGGAGCGAACAGG